UACGUAGGGGGCAAGCGUUGUCCGGAAUCAUUGGGCGUAAAGCGCGUGUAGGCGGCCCGGUAAGUCCGCUGUGAAAGUCGGGGGCUCAACCCUCGAAUGCCGGUGGAUACUGUCGGGCUAGAGUGCGGGAGAGGCGAGUGGAAUUCCUGGUGUAGCGGUGAAAUGCGCAGAUAUCAGGAGGAACACCAAUUGCGAAGGCAGCUCGCUGGAACGUAACUGACGCUGAGACACGAAAGCGUGGGGAGCAAACAGG
Molecule: ribosomal RNA, 253 nt
Filed under: uncultured bacterium
Lineage: Bacteria
Description: partial 16S ribosomal RNA
Rfam family: Bacterial small subunit ribosomal RNA
Source: RNAcentral